UAGGGAAUCUUCGGCAAUGGGGGCAACCCUGACCGAGCAACGCCGCGUGAGUGAAGAAGGUUUUCGGAUCGUAAAGCUCUGUUGUAAGAGAAGAACGUGUGUGAGAGUGGAAAGUUCACACAGUGACGGUAACUUACCAGAAAGGGACGGCUAACUACGUGCCAGCAGCCGCGGUAAUACGCAGGUCCCGAGCGUUGUCCGGAUUUAUUGGGCGUAAAGCGAGCGCAGGCGGUUUAAUAAGUCUGAAGUUAAAGGCAGUGGCUUAACCAUUGUUCGCUUUGGAAACUGUUAAGCUUGAGUGCAGAAGGGGAGAGUGGAAUUCCAUGUGUAGCGGUGAAAUGCGUGGAUAUAUGGAGGAACACCGGUGGCGAGAGCGGCUCUCUGGUCUGUAACUGACGCUGAGGCUCGAAAGCGUGGGGAGCAAACAGA
Molecule: ribosomal RNA, 429 nt
Filed under: bacterium
Lineage: Bacteria
Description: partial 16S ribosomal RNA
Rfam family: Bacterial small subunit ribosomal RNA
Source: RNAcentral